This 7595-nucleotide long non-coding RNA is filed under the name Brassica napus (rape). Its description in RNAcentral is "long non-coding RNA (BNAP_LNC014736)". The stretch from base 797 to 867 matches the Rfam family "tRNA". The record is from RNAcentral. Lineage: Eukaryota; Viridiplantae; Streptophyta; Magnoliopsida; Brassicales; Brassicaceae.
UAAUAAGCCAAGGAGGGUCGCUUAAUCAGUACAAAACGCCGAGAUGUGUUAAGUCCAACAGUGCUAUGCUCAAGCUCUUGGACGGCCACGUGACCGGUUCCUUCUCUAGCCCUCGUGAUCCAACCUGGUCCCCUUGAUGUCGAACGUAUGUAUUGAUCGGAGAGACUAUAAUUUACUAAUCAGUAUUCGGUAAUAACCAAAUGGGAUCGGAUUUGCUGUAAUGCUAGCAGUAGCAGGCAUGUAAUGCUACUACCUGAUUGAUUAAAAAAUGUUAUAAGAAACUUCAUUUACCGAGUUAUCUAUCUCUUAUAGUUCCUUUCAGUUUCUCGUCGCAUAAUAUAACUUUAGUACCGAGUUACUUAUAUCGUAUGAUUUACAAUAUAUUAAGGAAUUUUAAGACGAUCAUCAUCCUCAAGCCCUCUUGAAACAAAAGCUACUGUGGGAUUCUUUUUUUGUAUUCUCUGGCAUGGCUUCUGAGGAAGAGUUGUAUUCAUUGGGUGUUUGAAGUGUGUUUCCCGGCCCAAACAUAUAACACAAGAGUCCAAUCUGUUUAUCCAACUGUCGUUGGUUACAAAUUUAAUUACAUCAUCAUCCACUUUGUCGGCACUUAAUCUUAUCAGGAUCAUGGAUAAAUGCCAUGUGAUCUGUGAACAUGGCUUCUUAACGGACAGAAACCCCACGUACGCUGUCUCCCAAAACUUGAUUCGGAUAAUACUGAAAUGAAAAAGCAAUUAUUAUGAUUGUUUUUUGAUUUUUCUCUUGUGUUGAACAUAUAUAGUCAGCCAAAAGACAUGAAGCGCAUCUGGUGUAGUGGUAUCAUAGUACCCUCCCACGGUACUGACCAGGGUUCGAUUCCCUGGAUGCGCAUUUUUUUGUGCAAGAGUGUUCCGGUUUGGUUUGCAUAGGUUUUUUGGGCUUGGUUAAGGAUUAGUAGUGGAAACUGGCUUAGAUGCAUUCAGAUUAUCCAUCUCUUGGCCUAGAUUCCCAGUUAGUCUCUUAAACUUAUGCUCCUCUCUUUCCAUUUUCUUUAACUGGAAGGGAACCAAUUAAGAUCAUGAGCUCUUGUCUCAUUAAUUAGAAGGAAGAGGUCUUGUUAAGCCGAAAGGUCUAGAGUUCUACAAGAACUAAUAUAUUCAGUAUUGGAGGCUACAAAAAUGGGGGGUACAAAACCACCUGGUCGUUGUUCGGCCUGCUUCUCAGGGAACUCUUCCACUGAACCAUAUAUGGUAGCACAUAACUUGCUGCUUGCCCACGCCUCUGCUUCUAGACUAUAUAAGCAAAAGUACAAGGUAAUAUUUCAAAGUCCGGUAAUUGAAUAUGAUAAAGCUUAUUGUUUAGCUGCAUGAUCUCAGUUGUUUUAUUGCACAGCAUACACACAACACAUAAAAAAAAGAGCAGGAGGUACAUAACCUAAUAAUAAUGAUAAUAAGCAACAAAGGAACAAAUCAUUUAUGUCAAACGAAGGAAAAAUCUCAGGGAUGUAACAAAAGCACCAUAUGUCACUGCUUCUGGAGGUGAAGAACCUUAACCCAAGCAGGCCUGGCAGUGAUCUUCUUGAUCCACUCCUUAACCUUAGGGCGAGACUCAAAGAGCUUCUUGGAGUCGGUACCCAUCAAGUAAUAGAUGAUUGGGAGGUGGUGAAGAUCAGCCAGAGUGAAGCAAUCACCAGCCAAGAAGGGUGAUUUGGAGAGCCUGGCCUCGUAGAUAUCCAAGACCUUCACCAACUUAGCUUCGAGGUCUUCCACAGCGGCAGGGUCAGUGGUCAUGCCAAGCAUGCCUUUGAAGACACGCUCGAAGGCUAGCUUAGAGGCGAUAGGGUCAAACUGUUGACCUUCAACUUGAAGCCAGACCUUUGUGGUGGCCUUGAGUUUCUUGCAGCCUUGGCAGAGAAGCUUCUCGCCUUUGUCGCUGUACUCCUCCGCUAUGUACUCUGUGAUGGCUCUUGACUCUGAAAAACAAAAAUGAAUUCAUGUGUAUCAUUGAUACUUAACCAACACGUAAUGAAAACAGAUUAAGAAAAAAAAGGAACUAACCGAAAAGCGUCAGAUCACCGUCUAGGAGAGCAGGGAUUUGACCGAAGGGCUAAAAAAAAGAAAAAGGAAAGAGCAGAGUGGUCAGAUAUGUGAAUGUGAUGAUGAAAACCAAAUUAACCAAAGCUGUGUAGAGAGUUAUUACGUACGUUGAGGGAGAUGAGAGGCUCCUGCUUGUGAGCACCGGCUUUCAUGUCGACGGGGACUAUCUCGAAAUCGAGGCCCUUCUCGUAAAGAGUAGCCAGAACGCGCAUUGUGGCCGUUGAUAUUGGAAGUCCGUGUACUUUGAUGCCGCCGCCCAUGCUUAUAAGCUUUUAAUUGGAUCUGAAGGGGUGAAUGGUGGUGCAUGGUGUUUUAUAGGUGGAGGAGGAGGCAAGGCAAGAGAAGAAUAAGUCGUUGUUGCCAUUCUUUUCGUUUGCACAAACUUCUCACCACCACAUCACCACGUCUCCUCUUCCUCCUCCUUCUCCCACUUUCUCUCUGUUUAUUUGUAACCUCUAUUUUUUUUUUUUAUCGUUUUAACCCAUUUGGUUUUGUAACUACAGAUUCAUAUACAUACAUAAAAUAAAUAAAGAAGUUAACGUUGGUUAUGCCCCCAUGCAUGUUUAAGAAAAGUAAUUUAAUAUUUCAUGCAUGGUAUCAGGUAUCAAUCCACCAAAUUUGUUUAACGAUGGUAACGUUUUAAAUUUGAUUUAUAUCCGAAUUUAACGUUUAGGAUGGUUAUACCUAAUAUCAGUCAACAAAAAGAUAAAAUAAAAUAGAUAGAUAGAUAUAUAUUAGCGCCUAUUCAAAUCACAAAACAACAAGUGUAGGUCGGUGUAUAUGGGGUACAUAAAAAAAAUAUGUGGUGGAGGCAUAUGUUGGGUAUAAUAAUUACACCAAUCAAAAGAGAGCAUAAUCUAACGAGGACCAUCCACGUAAUAAAAAAAUAUCGCAUUCAUUCCUUACUCUUUCAGUUGUACUUGUAUACAAACUCCUUUCUAAAUUUUAUAAUCGGGAUCGAUCUCUCUUUCUCUGAAACAUUUUGGAAACUUCUAGGUAAGGCUUCUUCAUUCCAAAGCAAGACCACAAUUUUUCUUCAUGGCCACCGGAGAGGAGAAACCUGUUAUGGUCGUCGGUAUCGACGAAAGCGAGCAGAGCACUUACGCCUUGGAGUGGACCCUCGAUCGUUUCUUCACUCCCUACGCUCCUAAUUUUCCUUUCAAGCUCUUCAUCGUCCACGCCAAACCUAACGCCGUCUCUGCCGUUGGUCUUGCUGGUCCCGGUACCCUCUUUUGAUUGACUAGCUAGGAACUGUCUUCUUCUAUCUAGGUUUCUCUGUUUCAGAUAUAUAUCAUUUGCGGUUUCUUUUUUCUUUUUAGGAGCUGCGGAGGUUCUGCCUUAUGUUGAUACCGAUUUGAAGCAUAUUGCUGCCAGGGUUAUCGAGAUGGCUAAAGGUAUCUGUCAGAGCAAAUCGGUAAGUAUUCACUCAUUAAUUCUUCGACUAUUUCAUAAAGGAUAAUUAUAAGAGAGCGUAUACAAUGAUGUUUCAAUGUUUGAUGAGCUAUAUUUGUUUUGAAUCUCUACAUCAUUCAAGCUUAGAUACUCCUUAUAGUUUUUUCCUUCUUUACUUUAUAAUUGAUCUUUUAUAUUUUUUUGUUUUUUUUUGUAAAAGUAAUUUAUCUAUUUUUAGUUACGUACUAGCUUCUUCUCAAUCAUUGAUUCUCUAGGUUUGUGCCGUGUAGGUUAAUGGCGCUAUGUUCGAAGUUUUUGAAGGUGAUGCAAGAAGUAUACUGUGCGAUGUUGUGGAUAAACAUCAUGCUUCUCUUCUUGUCGUGGGAAGCCAUGGUUAUGGAGCUAUCAAGAGGUAUAUAAUAUCUUUGUGUAUUUAAUUAUUAUAAUACUCACAAUCAUCAAUCUUGACUAUUUUUCUCGGCUUUAAUUCCCGACUCCUAUCACAGGGCGGUUCUAGGGAGCGUGAGCGACUACUGUGCUCAUCAUGCUCAUUGCUCGGUGAUGAUCGUGAAGAAGCCUAAGAUCAAGCACUGAUGAUCACCUAAACCCAAGCUGUUAUAUCAGUCAAAGCAAAGCAAAGUCUCAUCUGCAUAGUCGUCAGUUUCGGUGAAAUGAAAUAAAAUUGUGAAACGAUCCAAUCUAUAUAUUAAUAUUCGUGUGUAAAUUGGUUAUUGUAUUCAUAAACUAUUUUAUAUAUUGACGUUUGAUAAUACUAUUGUGGUUAUCUGCUUACCUACAAACAAGUAAACAAAAUAAGUUUUAAAAAACCUCAUAUGAGUGAGAAGACUGUUAUGGAUGAAUAUUGUUGGCUAAUGAUUCAGGGACAUGGAUAUAUCCGAAUAAAAUAAAAAAAAGAGAAGUGUUGAGACCAAUGUCAUUGUCUGGUUUUCAACAAGGGGAGGCAUGAUGACAUAUAUGUGAAAAAAGAUUAUUACCGCAUCGGCUUUCGAAAAGGCAGACUAAUUCGGAGAGAGAGAGAGAGCGACUGAGAUGAUUUUUGUUUGACAUUUUUCGAAAACGAGAUUUUUUUUGUUGUGUUCCGUCCGAUUGAGGCUUGGUGGAGACAUGGCCGGAGCUAAUGAUGAUGAUUAUGAUCGUAACAACCGCCGGAUUGCUAACUGAUAUAUUUCAAGGACAAAGCUAAUACCCAUUUCUGGGUAUGCAAAUAUGGCUAACCCACUAUAAAUACACAUUCUUGUUUUGAGUCCUGAGGCAUUCAUCACCUCUCUUCUUCUUCAUCCUUCUUCUAUAUUUUUUCUUUGGUUUAAGCUGGGAAAUGGAUGUACUGAAGUUUGAUUACAACCACAAGGGUGACAAUGCAUUAAAGGAGCUCGAGAGGAUCACCUCGAAGGCUGCUGAAGUCCAAGAUAAUAUGUUAAGUGGGAUCUUAGAAAGAAACAAGGACACACAGUACUUGAGAAAGUACAUGAAAGGCUCUAAGGACGUUAUGGAGUUUAAACGCUCUGUGCCAGUCAUCACGUACAAAGAUGUAUGUCCUUACAUUCAGAGAAUUGCAAAUGGAGAAGACUCUUCUCUGAUUACUGGUCAUCCUAUCACUGAGAUACUAUGCAGGUCGAUUUUUAUUUCUAGCCUGAAUCUCUUUCUUAGUAACAGCCUCCCCUUCCUUUGUGUUUGAAUAUAAAUUUGUGUAUGGCUAAAUAAAUGUAUCUGCUUGCUUUCAUGUUGCAGCUCAGGAACUUCUGGUGGAGAGCCGAAGCUAAUGCCAACCAUUUCGGAAGAUCUUGAUCGGCGCACCUUUGUCUACAAUCUUAUCAAUCCAAUCGCGAACAAGUUAGUACAAUGUUUCCUGUUAAUAUUCAGUCCUGAUAUACUUUAACAUCCUCCUUGUUGCUCUUAUAAGAGUAGUGAUUAGUGAAGAAGGAAUUACAUCUUCCAUGCACAUGAAUAUUUACUUGAUAAAAAACAAAGUGGCUGAUCUCAUAUUCCAUAAAAGAACCACUAGGACUGUUCCUGUAGUUGUAGGAUAGUGGAUAUGUCUCAAAAUCUGACCUAUGGAAGUGGAAGUACACAUCACAUCACAAUUCCUCCAUGUUAUUAUCCACUGGAAACAUUUAAUAAAAAAGGAAAAAAAUUAAAAAGGUUAACGAUAGGCUUCAAUGUGAAUAUGGCUUCAUAAUCAUUGUAGGCACUAACAUAUGGAAUCUGGAUACACAUGCAUAGAUGUACUGGCCGUGGUACCAAUAAAUCUUCAUAGUAGGUUGCUCACUAAGGAAGUUUGCUUUCUGCUUUGAGUUUUGUGUUUGCUUUUUGUGGAAAUUAAGUGGUAUCAUGUCAUGUACUAUAAAGUUUGCAUCCAUCAUCUUUUAUCCACACGCCAUUUUGAUGUCCCCACCCAAAGAUUCUCUGAGAAUUUUGAACAGCACUUACUAAACCUCAAGAAUCUUUUCAUAUCCACUACUGAUUUUUCUUUUCUUUCAUUUUACCUCUUUUACCAUCGUCUCUCUUUACUAUGUUUUUGACUGAGAUUUAUUAUAUGUAUUACUGACAGGUAUCUAGAAGGACUUGACAAAGGAAAAACAAUGUACCUAAACUUCGUCAAAGCUGAAACAUCAACUCCUUGUGGUUUACCAAUCAGAACUGUCCUCACUAGCUACUACAAGAGCAAACAUUUCCAGUGCCGACCUUACGAUCCAUUCAACGACUUAACCAGUCCCAUCCAAACCAUCCUUUGUGAAGACAGCAACCAAAGCAUGUACUGUCAGUUACUUGCCGCUCUUAUUCACCGUCACAAAGUCAUGCGUCUCGGAGCUGUCUUCGCUUCAGCCUUUCUCCGUGCAAUCUCUUAUCUCGAGCGAAAAUGGAGCCAGCUCUGCCAAGACAUCCGCACCGGCCAUCUCAGUCCCAUGAUCACCGAUCCAGGAUGCCAGACGGCUAUGACUUCUCUUCUAGCCUCGCCAAAUCCUGACUUAGCUGACGAGGUUGAAGAAAUCUGUGGACGCCCGUCGUGGAAAGGGAUUCUGUGUCAACUCUGGCCUCAAGCAAAGUUCAUUGAAGCAGUAGUGACAGGCUCAAUGGCUCAGUACAUACCAGCGCUUGAGUUCUUUAGCCAAGGCAAGAUUCCGUUGGUUUGUCCAAUGUAUGCUUCCUCCGAGACUUACUUUGGAGUCAACGUGAAGCCACUCUCCAAGCCAUCUGACGUCGUUUUCACGCUCUUGCCCAACAUGUGCUACUUCGAGUUCAUUCCUCUCGGCAAAAACGGAACUCUCUCUUUUGACGUAGAGGACGAAGAAGUCGUCCCCUGUGACAAAGUGGUUGACUUGGUCGACGUCAAACUCGGACGCUACUAUGAACUCGUCGUCACAACCUUCGCAGGUAAAGAAACUGGUGGCAUUGUCUUCUCCUUUUUAGUCAGCUCUGACUCUUGCAUGGAAACAGGAUUGUACCGUUACAGAAUCGGCGAUGUCCUUCAAGUGGCGGGGUUCUACAACAAAGCACCACAGUUCAGGUUUAUCUGCAGGAGAAACGUGGUUCUAAGCAUCGACUUAGACAAAACCAACGAGGAAGAUCUUCACAGGAGCAUCACGCUGGCCAAGAAGAAGCUUGAAAACAAGGCAUUCCUCGCGGAGUACACGAGCUACGCGGAUACUUCAUCAGUGCCAGGUCACUACGUGCUCUUCUGGGAGAUCCAAUGGCUCGAACCUGAUGAUGAGGAGGAGAAGCUGCUGAUGGAAGAGUGUUGCAUUGCGGUUGAGGAAGAGCUGGAUUACAUAUACAGGCAAUGCAGGAAGAGAGAUAGAUCGGUGGGGCCUUUAGAGAUAAGAGUGGUGAAGCCAGGGACGUUCGAGAAGCUGAUGGAUAUGAUAAUAAGCCAAGGAGGGUCGCUUAAUCAGUACAAAACGCCGAGAUGUGUUAAGUCCAACAGUGCUAUGCUCAAGCUCUUGGACGGCCACGUGACCGGUUCCUUCUCUAGCCCUCGUGAUCCAACCUGGUCCCCUUGAUGUCGAACGUAUGUAUUGAUCGGAGAGACUAUAAUUUACUAAUCAGUAUUCGGUAAUAACCAAAUGGGAUCGGAUUUGCUGUAAUGCUAGCAGUAGCAGGCAUGUAAUGCUA